RNAcentral lists this ribosomal RNA (588 nucleotides) under uncultured bacterium. Its description in RNAcentral is "bacterial SSU rRNA". It matches the Rfam family "Bacterial small subunit ribosomal RNA", at positions 338 to 916 of the family's 1533-position model. The record is from RNAcentral.
CCUACGGGAGGCAGCAGUGGGGAAUUUUGGACAAUGGGCACAAGCCUGAUCCAGCAAUGCCGCGUGCAGGAUGAAGGCCUUCGGGUUGUAAACUGCUUUUGUACGGAACGAAACGGUGAGCUCUAAUACAGUUUGCUAAUGACGGUACCGUAAGAAUAAGCACCGGCUAACUACGUGCCAGCAGCCGCGGUAAUACGUAGGGUGCGAGCGUUAAUCGGAAUUACUGGGCGUAAAGCGUGCGCAGGCGGUGAUGUAAGACAGAUGUGAAAUGCCCGGGCUCAACCUGGGACCUGCAUUUGUGACUGCAUCGCUAGAGUACGGUAGAGGGGGGAUGGAAUUCCGCGUGUAGCAGUGAAAUGCGUAGAUAUGCGGAGGAACACCGAUGGCGAAGGCAAUCCCCUGGACCUGUACUGACGCUCAUGCACGAAAGCGUGGGGAGCAAACAGGAUUAGAUACCCUGGUAGUCCACGCCCUAAACGAUGUCAACUGGUUGUUGGGUCUUCACUGACUCAGUAACGAAGCUAACGCGUGAAGUUGACCGCCUGGGGAGUACGGCCGCGAAGGUUGAAACUUAAAGGAAAUUGACGG